AAUGUUGAGCAACUGCCCUUGAGAAGCUCACACACUAAGAAAUGACACCAUAAAAAUAUAUGGUUUUAAAAUAAGAGAUCUUCACAGCCAACACUUGUCUAGGACGCCUUGGACCACCUUUCACUGUAUCCACACUGUACGUUUUCUAAAGCGACAAUGAAGGUUACACUAUUUUAAAAACGGUGUUUGCAUGUUCAGCAGCACUUGAGUCAUGUC
Long non-coding RNA from Ochotona curzoniae (black-lipped pika), 216 nucleotides. RefSeq lists it as uncharacterized. The record is from RefSeq and is a predicted model, not a curated record. The transcript has 3 exons. NCBI's taxonomy places the organism in Eukaryota, Metazoa, Chordata, Mammalia, Lagomorpha, Ochotonidae.